GAUGAACGCUGGCGGCGUGCCUAAUACAUGCAAGUCGAGCGAACGGACGAGAAGCUUGCUUCUCUGAUGUUAGCGGCGGACGGGUGAGUAACACGUGGAUAACCUACCUAUAAGACUGGGAUAACUUCGGGAAACCGGAGCUAAUACCGGAUAAUAUUUUGAACCGCAUGGUUCAAAAGUGAAAGACGGUCUUGCUGUCACUUAUAGAUGGAUCCGCGCUGCAUUAGCUAGUUGGUAAGGUAACGGCUUACCAAGGCAACGAUGCAUAGCCGACCUGAGAGGGUGAACGGCCACACUGGAACUGAGACACAGUCCAGACUCCUACGGGAGGCAGCAGUAGGGAAUCUUCCGCAAUGGGCGAAAGCCUGACGGAGCAACGCCGCGUGAGUGAUGAAGGUCUUCGGAUCGUAAAACUCUGUUAUUAGGGAAGAACAUAUGUGUAAGUAACUGGGCACAUCUUGACGGUACAUAAUCAGAAAGCUACGGCUAACUACGUG
RNAcentral lists this ribosomal RNA (497 nucleotides) under uncultured bacterium. RNAcentral's name for it is "partial 16S ribosomal RNA". It matches the Rfam family "Bacterial small subunit ribosomal RNA", at positions 28 to 507 of the family's 1533-position model. The record is from RNAcentral.